RNAcentral lists this transfer RNA (74 nucleotides) under Candidatus Nomurabacteria bacterium. RNAcentral's name for it is "tRNA-Trp". It matches the Rfam family "tRNA". From Rfam's summary of the family: Transfer RNA (tRNA) molecules are approximately 80 nucleotides in length. Their secondary structure includes four short double-helical elements and three loops (D, anti-codon, and T loops). The record is from RNAcentral. Lineage: Bacteria; Candidatus Nomuraibacteriota.
AGGGGCAUAGUUCAUCGGUAGAAUGCGGGUCUCCAAAACCUGUGAGGUUGGUUCGACUCCAACUGCCCCUGCCA